This 393-nucleotide ribosomal RNA is filed under the name uncultured bacterium. RNAcentral's name for it is "bacterial SSU rRNA". It matches the Rfam family "Bacterial small subunit ribosomal RNA", at positions 521 to 916 of the family's 1533-position model. The record is from RNAcentral.
UAAUACGGAGGAUCCAAGCGUUAUCCGGAUUUAUUGGGUUUAAAGGGUGCGUAGGCGGACCCGUAAGUCAGUGGUGAAAGUUUGCAGCUCAACUGUAAAAUUGCCAUUGAAACUAUGGGUCUUGAGUGUAAAUGAGGUAGGCGGAAUGUGUUGUGUAGCGGUGAAAUGCUUAGAUAUAACACAGAACACCAAUUGCGAAGGCAGCUUACUAGGAUACAACUGACGCUGAGGCACGAAAGCGUGGGGAUCAAACAGGAUUAGAUACCCUGGUAGUCCACGCAGUAAACGAUGAAUACUAACUGUAUGCGAUAUACUGUAUGUGGUAAAGCGAAAGCGUUAAGUAUUCCACCUGGGGAGUACGUUCGCAAGAAUGAAACUCAAAGGAAUUGACGG